RNAcentral lists this long non-coding RNA (792 nucleotides) under Olea europaea (common olive). RNAcentral describes it as "long non-coding RNA (OEUR_LNC014517)". Lineage: Eukaryota; Viridiplantae; Streptophyta; Magnoliopsida; Lamiales; Oleaceae. The record is from RNAcentral.
AAGAAGGACCGGUAGAAGAGAGGAAGAUGAGAAUUAAUUGGGGGGUCAGCCAAUAUUAUAAUUUUAACACACUUUGAGGGCUGAUCGGCAGGCUGCUGGUGCUGAAUUUUUUUAUAUAGAUACACGCAAUCACGCAAAGAAAAAAAAGGGAGGCAGACAGUUUCACGCACAUUGAAAGGCUGGCCGGUUGCUACAUUAUCAUAUUAUACUUACAUAGGAACGGAGGAGCCAAGAGGAGAAUUACACGCAUAGACUGAAUUAAAAGGAACACAAUUUUGGCUGCUGCUGGAUUAAACAAUAGACAGCAUACACACGACAGAUUUGGGCAGAAAAGAAGGAAAAGACGGCUAGAGCAAAAUUGGGAAAUUCAUUCACGUUUCGUCAAUUAAUCCCGGUGAUGCCUUCAUUAUUUUAUCUUGUGUUUCUUCCAUUAUUAUGAGUAGCUAGAUUUGAUUUAGGGCGAACAACGUAAUCUUUUGGAACCCUUUAUUUCAUGCAAUUAAAAUUCUAGUGCUUUUAUUUAAUAUGUGUUGAUUUUAAUGUUGUUCUUAAUGCAUUUAAUUACUUGAUCACUAGUUAGAUGAUUUGUGAACAAUGAUUGCGUAGAGAUGCGGAUUAUUUGUUUAGACCACAUGUUAAAAUCGGGCAAAUUGAUAUAACGUGUAGACAUACCUAUAUUGAUUGCUGCGGUCAUGUGCGAAUUCUUAAAAACAAUGUUGCGUUUAAUUAAAUUUAAUUUGCAUAGAGAUAUGGAAUUGAACUAAUUAUAUAGGCUUAACGAGAACUCGAGAG